CGCAGAUGCAGAGGUGACGUUCAAGGGAACGCGGUGAGACAUACGUCAAAACCGCGGCUGCGCCCGCAACUGUAAUCGGUGAGCUUUUCCGCAUACGCCACUGGCGGCCGCAUAGGCUGCUGGGAAGGCCGGAUAAAGCGCCAGAACCGAGAGCCAGGAGACCUGGCGUCACAAGUCGCCCUUU
This 184-nucleotide non-coding RNA is filed under the name Hyphomicrobium sulfonivorans. Lineage: Bacteria; Pseudomonadati; Pseudomonadota; Alphaproteobacteria; Hyphomicrobiales; Hyphomicrobiaceae. The record is from RNAcentral.